GACGAACGCUGGCGGCGUGCUUAACACAUGCAAGUCGAACGGAAAGGCCCUGCUUUUGUGGGGUGCUCGAGUGGCGAACGUGUGAGUAACACGUGAGUAACCUGCCCUUGACUUUGGGAUAACUUCAGGAAACUGGGGCUAAUACCGGAUAGGAGCUCCUGCUGCAUGGUGGGGGUUGGAAAGUUUCGGCGGUUGGGGAUGGACUCGCGGCUUAUCAGCUUGUUGGUGGGGUAGUGGCUUACCAAGGCUUUGACGGGUAGCCGGCCUGAGAGGGUGACCGGCCACAUUGGGACUGAGGUACGGCCCAGUCCACUACGGGGGGCAGCAGUGGGGAAUAUUGCACAAUGGGCUGAAGCCUGAUGCAGCAACGCCGCGUGCGGGAUGACUGCCUUCGGGUUGUAAACCGCUUUCGCCUGUGACGAAGCGUGAGUGACGGUAAUGGGUAAAGAAGCACCGGCUAACUACGUG
This 468-nucleotide ribosomal RNA is filed under the name uncultured bacterium. Its description in RNAcentral is "partial 16S ribosomal RNA". It matches the Rfam family "Bacterial small subunit ribosomal RNA", at positions 28 to 507 of the family's 1533-position model. The record is from RNAcentral.